Cavia porcellus (domestic guinea pig) is the source of this 2600-nucleotide long non-coding RNA. RefSeq lists it as uncharacterized. The record is from RefSeq and is a predicted model, not a curated record. The transcript is spliced from 8 exons. Lineage: Eukaryota; Metazoa; Chordata; Mammalia; Rodentia; Caviidae.
CUUGUGAUAUGGAACCCCACUCCUGCCCAUCCCUUUCUCAUCCAGAUGCUUUCCUUCCCAUCAGACACCCCCUGAAUCUCUUUCUCGCCUAGGCCAGCCGUCCAUACCAGCCCUCUCUGUCCUUGUUGUUUCCUGGCUUUUGUCUCCUGCGAAGAUGCCUUCCCUGCCCUCUGGUCUCCCCGUGGAGGUGGGCUCCAUGCGAAACUUAGAUACCCAACUAAGUCGUCUACUUCGCCUGGCCAUGGCCGGGGGCCCAAGCUGGAGCCUGGCGAGGCUCCUGCCGAGAGCCGCUGUCUUGACGGCAGCACACCAGUACGUGCAGGUGCCUUCUCAGGCUGCAGCCAGAUCAUGUUGCAGCUGCUGCAGGCAGGGGGUGACUUGCGUCUGCACGACCAGCAGGGUCGCACACCACGAGACUGGGCUGAGCAGGGUGGCUCCAAACAAAGCUGGGAGGUAGUGGAGCUGUUGCAGCUGUGUCGCAUCCACAUGUCAGCACUACUGCAUGGUGGGGAAUUGGCACCCAUUGCAGCCCUAGGGCCAUUGUACACUGGCUCUGGGCACAGCCUGCGGCGCUCCCUGUGUUCACUGAUACAGACAGAAAGGUAAUGGUCCACCCUGGGGCUGCCCAUCCACCACACCCAGGUACUCCAGCCUUUCCUUCAGCCCCCUUUACCCCAGGAUGCUAAGGCCAGAGCAGAUUGGGAGAUCACCUAAAACCCCAGUCUUGGGGUUUGGCCACGUAAGUGUGUGUUAAUGGUUGGGGGAGCAGGGGCCAUUCCUGUGUUCUUCCUGCCUCAUGGUCCUGUUCUGCAUCUCCAGAUGAGCAGCCAGCAGCCACUGGGGCUGGUAACAGGCAUACCCUUGGCGGACCCCAAGGAGCUGCUGCCAGCCCAAGGCGAGCCUGACCGCACCUAUGAGAGCAGCUCCCAUACUCUCAUGGCCAACUUCCUGUGGAGGGGCAACCUUGUGACUAUGCGACAGCUUAAGGACCCUGGAGUCCAUCCUGAUGUGCUGUUGGCUGACCUUCAGCACUGCAGCACCCUGCAUCACCCCAAUCUGCUGCUGCUGAUGGCACUGAGCCCCUCAGUAAACCUGUCAGGGCUGUGUCUCCUCUUCGAGCCUGUGUGGCUAGGCUCCCUGCAUGUCGUGCUGCACCAACCAAGAUGGAGGGAAAAGGGACCUGUGCGCCGCCUGGCCGCAUGCUGCUGCAGGUGCUGGAGGCCCUGCUGUUCCUGCAGGCCCGCUGCCGGGCUCACGGCGGUCUCAGCUCCCAUGCUGUGCAGCUGGUACGGCCUGGCCUGGCUAAGGUGGGCAACCUAGAGCAUGGGCGCCCACUGGACCAACCUCACCUGAGACCCAGGCUGUACCAGGGCUACUCCUGGGGAGGCCCAGGUAUAGGACUGCCCCCACCUCCUGAACUGUACCCAUGGCUUCCUCUUGAACUAAUCCAUGGCGAUGUGCCUGCCACCACCUCGGACCUCUACAGCUUCUGUGUCCUGGCCCAGGAAGUCUUCACUGGUCAGUGAGUGGUACUAUACCCUACCUCACUGAGGCAGCCCACUAGUUGGGAUCUUCUGAUGGUGCUUCCUCACAGGAGAGCUUCCCUGGGCUGGGAGAGAGGGGCUUGAGGUGAAGGCCAAGCUGGAGGCAGGUGAGAGUCCAGUCUUGGAUCCCUUGGUGCCUACCCACUACCAGGCCCUGGUUCAGGCUGGGCUCGGUCUAGGGCCUACCAACCGCUGGGGCAGCUUGCAGAGUACUCGAUACCUGCUGCGGGAGGCCAUGGCUCAGGUACAGGCUCAGCGGGGGUGAGGGUAGCCAUGAAGCCUCAGCCAGGGCCUGUGUCCCCACACUCAGCCUCAUUUCCCUAGGACUCAGAUCCUGAGGUCAGUUCCCCACUGAAGUGGACUACACUGACCCCUGUAUCACAGGGGUCCCCACCAGGUUAGAGGGCAAGGGAGGGUGAUGGUAGGUGGUGGGCCCAGCUGGGCUGUGCCUCCUUAUUCCAGCCAGGUCUCGGCUAUCUCCCAGAGCAAAUGUACUAUGAGGCAGCUCGCAGAGCCAUGACCACGCCCAGGUCUGUGUACCCAAGCCCCAUCCCAUCCCAGGUCCUGGAGACUCCUGAGGUCACAGACUACAGUGGGGUUCACAGGAAUGCAGCCUGGUACUCAAGCAGCAGCUUGACUCUAGGCAGCAGCCAUAGUCAUGCCCCUGGCUCUAGCCAUAGCACCACCACCAGUGUCAGCCCGUCCUGCUGUCUGGAGCCCACAUCAACACCAGCCAGCACUGAGCUGAUGGGAGAUCUCUUCACCAGCCUCCAGAAGUAAGAACUGGGGCCUAGGGGGGGGACCCAGAGCCCCACCCAUGAGGUAAUCCUGUCUACCCUUUCCUAUUCCAGAAUGGAUCUGCUGGGAGAGAUCAUGGCAGAGCUGCAAAGUGGAUGUCAACUUGGAGACAAGGCUAGCCUAGGCCCUGACAAGCCUAGCCUAGACCCUACCACUGACACGGAUUCUUAGGAUACCCUGGCCUCUCCCUACAGAUAUUGCCCCCCUGGAAUCUUCCAAGAAGGACUGACUCCCCACUCAAUGCCUGUCCUAUGGAAA